AUACGGAAGGUCCGGGCGUUAUCCGGAUUUAUUGGGUUUAAAGGGAGCGCAGGCGGAGAUGCAAGCGUGACGUCAAAUUUCGUGGCUCAACCCCGUCUCGCGUCGCGAACUGCGUCCCUUGGUUGCGGGAAGGGGAGGCGGAACUUGUGGUGUAGCGGUGAAAUGCAUAGAUAUCACGAAGAACUCCGAUCGCGAAGGCAGCCUUCCGGCCCGUCAACGACGCUCAUGCUCGAAGGUGCGGGUAUCAAACAGGAUUAGAUACCCUGGUAGUCCGCACAGUAAACGAUGGACACGCGCGGUUUGGCCUGUAUGGCUGAGCCGCCAAGCGAAAGCGUUAAGUGUCCCACCUGGGGAGUACGCCGGCAACGGUGAAACUCAAAUGAAUUGACGGGG
This 393-nucleotide ribosomal RNA is filed under the name uncultured bacterium. Its description in RNAcentral is "partial 16S ribosomal RNA". It matches the Rfam family "Bacterial small subunit ribosomal RNA", at positions 523 to 918 of the family's 1533-position model. The record is from RNAcentral.